AUGACAAGAAGGUAUUGGAACAUUAAUUUGAAAGAGAUGAUAGAAGCAGGAGUUCAUUUUGGUCAUGGUAUUAAGAAAUGGAAUCAUAAUAUGACCCCUUACAUUUCGGUAAAGUGUAAAGGUGCUCACAUUAUAAAUCUUGCUAGAACGACUCGUUUUUUAUCAGAAGCUUGUGAUUUAGUUUUUGAUGCAGCAAGUCAGGAAAAAAGUUUCUUAAUUGUGGGUACCAAAAGAGCAAGGGAUUUAGUAGCAUCAGCUGCAAUAAGGGCUCGUUGUCAUUAUGUUAAAAAGUGGUUCAGUGGUAUGUUAACGAAUUGGUCGAUUACGAAAACUAGAUCUCAAUUUAGAGACUUAAGAGUAGAAGAAAACAUGGGAAAAUUCCACCAUCUCCCAAAAAGAGAUGUGGCAAUCUUGAAGAGAGUAUUAUCUACCUUGCAAAGGUAUCUCGGUGGGAUCAAAUAUAUGACGAGAUUGCCAGACAUUGUGAUCAUCCUUGAUCAUCAAAAAGAGUAUAUAGCUCUUCGGGAAUGUGCCAUUUUGGGGAUUCCUACUAUUUCUUUAGUCGAUACAAAUUGUGACCCGGAUCUCGCGAAUAUAUCGAUUCCAGCCAACGAUGACACUAUGACUUCAAUUCCAUUGAUUCUUAACAAAUUAGUAUUUUCAAUUUGGGAGGGUCGUUCUCUCUAUAUAAGAAAUCGUUCAUUAAGAAUAUAUAGUGAAUUCUUGGGCAACUGCGUAAAUUUAUGGAAUCACUUAGUUUACUAG
Molecule: ribosomal RNA, 765 nt
Filed under: Triticum aestivum (bread wheat)
Lineage: Eukaryota; Viridiplantae; Streptophyta; Magnoliopsida; Poales; Poaceae
Description: partial small subunit ribosomal RNA
Source: RNAcentral